AUGAAGGAAGCUCGUCUAGAUAAAUUGGCAGCCCAGACACUUGGGAGGUGCACUGGUACAGUAUUGCCCGGCGUUCAUCUUGCACUCAUUAAGGUUCUUUUUGGUGAGGUAUUAUCAAAGCUCAGCAUUGACCCCAAAGAAUCAAAACCCAGGCGCGGAAGAAAGAAGGACACUGAGAGCCUUAUUUCAACAAAGGAUUUUAACUUUGAUAUGCUAACUGCUAACAAGUUGACUUGGCCAGAGUUGGCUAGAAGGUAUAUGUUAGCUAUUUCUUCCAUAAAUGGGUGCAUGGAUGUGUCAGAUAUUUCCAGUCGAGAAAGGGUGAAGUUAUUCCGCUGCCUACACGGUGAUGGUGGCAUCCUGUGCGGAGCAGUACCUGGGGUUGCCGGCAUGGAGAAGGAUGCCCUGGUAAGCAUUUUAUUUCAACAAUUAGCUGAACCUUGUGAUUCAUUUGGAUCAUUCCUUCCUUUCCUUCUUCAAUCAGACAUGAGUUGUCUUUAG
RNAcentral lists this ribosomal RNA (501 nucleotides) under Triticum aestivum (bread wheat). RNAcentral describes it as "partial small subunit ribosomal RNA". The record is from RNAcentral. Lineage: Eukaryota; Viridiplantae; Streptophyta; Magnoliopsida; Poales; Poaceae.